AGCGUGGAGACAGGUGGUGCAUGGCUGUCGUCAGCUCGUGUCGUGAGAUGUUGGGUUAAGUCCCGCAACGAGCGCAACCCUCACCCCUUGUUGCCAUCAGGUUAUGCUGGGCACUCUAGGGGAACUGCCCCGGUCAACGGGGAGGAAGGCGGGGGUGACGUCAAGUCAUCAUGCCCCUUACGUCCUGGGCUACACACGUGCUACAAUGGCCGGUACAAAGGGAUGCAACACCGCGAGGUAGAGCUAAAUCCAAAAAGCCGGUCUAAGUUCAGAUUGGAGUCUGCAACCCGACUCCAUGAAGGAGGAAUCGCUAGUAAUCGCGUAUCAGCACGACGCGGUGAAUACGUUCCCGGGCCUUGUACACACCGCCCGUCACACCACGAAAGCCAGCUGUACUCGAAGUCGCUGAG
Molecule: ribosomal RNA, 410 nt
Filed under: uncultured Methylomirabilota bacterium
Lineage: Bacteria; Methylomirabilota (SeqCode)
Description: bacterial SSU rRNA
Rfam family: Bacterial small subunit ribosomal RNA
Source: RNAcentral